Molecule: ribosomal RNA, 459 nt
Filed under: uncultured bacterium
Lineage: Bacteria
Description: partial 16S ribosomal RNA
Rfam family: Bacterial small subunit ribosomal RNA
Source: RNAcentral
CCUACGGGUGGCAGCAGUGAGGAAUAUUGGUCAAUGGGCGAGAGCCUGAACCAGCCAAGUCGCGUGAGGGAAGACGGUCCUAUGGAUUGUAAACCUCUUUUGCCGGGGAGCAAAAAGCGGUACGUGUACCGCAUCGAGAGUACCCGGAGAAAAAGCAUCGGCUAACUCCGUGCCAGCAGCCGCGGUAAUACGGAGGAUGCGAGCGUUAUCCGGAUUUAUUGGGUUUAAAGGGUGCGCAGGCGGAGGCACAAGUCAGCGGUAAAAUCGCGGGGCUCAACCCCGCUCCGCCGUUGAAACUGUGUCCCUUGAGUGCGCGAAGGGUAGGCGGAAUGCGUGGUGUAGCGGUGAAAUGCAUAGAUAUCACGCAGAACUCCGAUCGCGAAGGCAGCCUACCGGCGCGCAACUGACGCUCAUGCACGAAAGCGUGGGUAUCGAACAGGAUUAGAUACCCUUGUAGUC